AGAAUAACUAGAAAAGGGCGACCAUUAGGUCGCCCUUAUAUUUAGCAAUCGAUAUUACGCUUUUGGUUUGGCCGCCGAUCAGUAAUAUCUCGCUUUCAUUGGCGUUACGCAUAGCUGGCUGUUAGCUUAGUUCCUUACGCUUUAAUCACUAACAGUUUCUUGUAACCAUAACCUGAGUUCAGACUCAGGUUUUUUUAU
This 198-nucleotide small RNA is filed under the name Vibrio owensii. RNAcentral describes it as "MicX". It matches the Rfam family "MicX Vibrio cholerae sRNA". The record is from RNAcentral. Lineage: Bacteria; Pseudomonadati; Pseudomonadota; Gammaproteobacteria; Vibrionales; Vibrionaceae.